RNAcentral lists this ribosomal RNA (490 nucleotides) under uncultured bacterium. Its description in RNAcentral is "bacterial SSU rRNA". It matches the Rfam family "Bacterial small subunit ribosomal RNA", at positions 28 to 507 of the family's 1533-position model. The record is from RNAcentral.
GAUGAACGCUAGCUACAGGCUUAACACAUGCAAGUCGCGGGGCAGCAUUUCGUUAGCUUGCUAAUGAAGAUGGCGACCGGCGCACGGGUGAGUAACGCGUAUCCAACCUUCCCAUGUCCACGGGAUAGCCCGUCGAAAGGCGGAUUAAUACCGUAUGAGGUCACAAGCGGGCAUCUAAUUGUGACGAAAGGUUUUGCGGACAUGGAUGGGGAUGCGUCCGAUUAGCUUGUUGGCGGGGUAACGGCCCACCAAGGCAACGAUCAGUAGGGGUUCUGAGAGGAAGGUCCCCCACAUUGGAACUGAGACACGGUCCAAACUCCUACGGGAGGCAGCAGUGAGGAAUAUUGGUCAAUGGGCGAGAGCCUGAACCAGCCAAGUAGCGUGCAGGACGACGGCCCUAUGGGUUGUAAACUGCUUUUAUAAGGGAAUAAAGUGAGUCUCGUGAGACUUUUUGCAUGUACCUUAUGAAUAAGGACCGGCUAAUUCCGUG